RNAcentral lists this ribosomal RNA (497 nucleotides) under uncultured bacterium. RNAcentral's name for it is "partial 16S ribosomal RNA". It matches the Rfam family "Bacterial small subunit ribosomal RNA", at positions 28 to 507 of the family's 1533-position model. The record is from RNAcentral.
GAUGAACGCUGGCGGCGUGCCUAAUACAUGCAAGUCGAGCGAACAGACGAGGAGCUUGCUCCUCUGACGUUAGCGGCGGACGGGUGAGUAACACGUGGAUAACCUACCUAUAAUACUGGGAUAACUUCGGGAAACCGGAGCUAAUACCGGCUCAUAUAUUCAACCGCAUGGUUCAAUAGUGAAAGACGGCUUUGCUGUCUCUUAUAGAUGGAUUCGCGCCGCAUUAGCUAGUUGGUAAGGUAACGGCUUACCAAGGCAACGAUGCGUAGCCGACCUGAGAGGAUGAUCGGCCACACUGGAACUGAGACACGGUCCAGACUCCUACGGGAGGCAGCAGUAGGGAAUCUUCCGCAAUGGGCGAAAGCCUGACGGAGCAACGCCGCGUGAGUGAUGAAGGUCUUCGGAUCGUAAAACUCUGUUAUUAGGGAAGAACAAAUGUGUAAGUAACUAUGCACGUCUUGACGGUACCUAAUCAGAAAGCCACGGCUAACUACGUG